CCUACGGGAGGCAGCAGUGGGGAAUUGUUCGCAAUGGGCGCAAGCCUGACGACGCAACGCCGCGUGGAGGAUGAAGAUCUUCGGGUCGUAAACUCCUUUCGAUCGAGACGAAUGGCCCUUGGGCUAAUCACCAGGGGAAUGACGGUACCGAGAGAAGAAGCCCCGGCUAACUCCGUGCCAGCAGCCGCGGUAAUACGGGGGGGGCAAGCGUUGUUCGGAAUUACUGGGCGUAAAGGGCUCGUAGGCGGCCAACUAAGUCAGACGUGAAAUCCCUCGGCUUAACCGGGGAACUGCGUCUGAUACUGGAUGGCUUGAAUCCGGGAGAGGGAUGCGGAAUUCCAGGUGUAGCGGUGAAAUGCGUAGAUAUCUGGAGGAACACCGGUGGCGAAGGCGGCAUCCUGGACCGGCAUUGACGCUGAGGAGCGAAAGCCAGGGGAGCAAACGGGAUUAGAUACCCGAGUAGUC
RNAcentral lists this ribosomal RNA (465 nucleotides) under uncultured bacterium. RNAcentral's name for it is "bacterial SSU rRNA". It matches the Rfam family "Bacterial small subunit ribosomal RNA", at positions 338 to 795 of the family's 1533-position model. The record is from RNAcentral.